Molecule: ribosomal RNA, 402 nt
Filed under: uncultured prokaryote
Description: bacterial SSU rRNA
Rfam family: Bacterial small subunit ribosomal RNA
Source: RNAcentral
UAGGGAAUAUUAGUCAUGGACGAAAGUCUGAUCUAGCAACACCGCGUGUGCGAAGAAGGCCUUCGGGUUGUAAAGCACUUUUUGGAAGGAUUAGGAAGGAAUGUACUUCCAGAAUAAGUCUCGGCUAACUACGUGCCAGCAGCCGCGGUAACACGUAGGAGGCAAACGUUAUCCGGAUUUACUGGGCGUAAAGCGCGUGUAGGUGGUUCUGUAAGUAGGGCGUGAAAGCUCCUGGCUCAACUGGGAGAGGCCGUUCUAAACUGCAGAGCUAGAGGAUGGUAGAGGGAGGUGGAGUUGCGGGUGUAGCGGUGGAAUGCGCAGAUAUCCGGAGGAACACCAGUUGCGAAAGCGGCCGCCUGGACCAGUCCUGACACUCAGACGCGAAAGCUAGGGUAGCAAACG